GUCGCUGGGUAGGCGGAGCUGAAAAGGAGAGGAAGAUGGCGGAGUGAGGAGCUGCGGCUCCCGCUGCGGCCGCGGCUGCGGCUGCCCGGAACCCGCGGUGGCUGGGGCUGGCCAUUCCUGGUCAGCGGCCGGCUAGUCUUGACAGCUCAGGUUCCUUAUCCUAGACAGAGCAAUUUUCCUACAGUGUUUAUGAUGUCCUCAUCUUGAAAGGAAAACAGAAUCCAGAGCUCAGGAUUUAGUAGGUUCUUUAGAAGAAAAAAGACUUUGAUUUGAAUCAUUCUAUCCUUCACUAUUUUCUCAGGUGGUCCUGCGUCUUUUGUGUAACUGCAGUCCUUGGUCUUGACAUGUGGACCUAUCUCCUCUCUACUUUAACUCCAUGGACCAGAAUGGAAAAAUUUUCUUCGCUUCGUGUUCCAGUUCUCAAAUCCAGCACAUUUAACUUGUUAGGUGGCUUCCCCCAAGGUGCCAUCUGGCUGGCAUCAUGUCAAUUCUUCCAGGAAAAAAGAAGCAAUUGAUGUUGGCAUUCAGCAGCUAUUUGCUUAGAUGAGAAAAGGGAUUUUUUUUCAAAUAGAAGCAUAAUAUUUAAAUUGGUGCCAGGUGCUUAGAUGGUGGCAUUUGUGAGUUCUUUGCCCUUUAUGUUUUACAAGAGUACACAGUAAGAAGUCAAAAUGUCUGCAGGGGCCACUUGUAUCCUGUUUGAACUAGCAUAAAAUUACACAAUAUGCAUAAUUACAACAAGAAAUCUUGCAUUUCAAUAUGGAAAGUACAUUUAAGAAACUUAAAAAUAAUAUAUCCGAAUCCUAAUUAAUUCCAUUACAUAGAUUUCUCAAUCCAGAACAAAGGGCCAACUUUGUAGAUACUCAUGUGAUGUGGUAAGUAAAGCAGCUUAUGUAUGGUAUGUCCCUGGAUUUUUUAUGUGUAUAAAGAAAACAUGGUCUUUGAACAAAGAUGUUCUGCAUGGGUAUAUCUACAUUUAUCAGUGAGAAGAAAGAUUUCUUCCAAGACGGUAACAUUUACCUGGCCGGUAACAUUUGGUUGCUUCAUACCAUUUUAAGAUGUUUUUCCAUUUUCACAAGAAAGGAGCAGGUUGUACAGAAGCAGAAACCAUGAAUACAUUCUUGGGUCCAUUGGAACACAGUUUUCAUUGACUUCUGACUAAGCAGAGAACAAAAAGUUUUGAUCUUACCAAAAAUGGGGGCUCUCUUGUGGAUAUAUAUGGCUUGCUGUCAUCUUUCUUCCUUGUGGAGUGUUAUGGGACAUUCUGGAGUUGGAUUUUCAUACUGCUGUGGGCAAGAGUGAACUGGAACAAGGGGUCUGCCAACGUAUGCUCAAAAUACCAGGUCAAACUUGUAGCUAACUAUGAAUAUAGCAGAAUGGAAAAGGAGUGGCAGUAGGGAAGCAAGUGUUUUUUCCCAUACAACUUCAACUUGAGAGGCAAAAAGCAGAAAUAUUUUGUGUGGCUCCAUCGGACAGAUGUAUUUGCGUGACAUUCUGUAUUUUCAUCCCUUGCAGCAUCAUGGGAACAUUAUCCUUCAAUUCAGGAUGGCUGUGAGAAUGAUUUCCGUGGUUGAAACUGAAGCAUCCCACCAGAGGGUGGGCCUCAAAAUAAGGCCCAUCAAACUUGGCUUGAAGCAGGGUGAAUUUAGGUCUAGAAGAAAUUUAGGGACUACAUUCCAUCCGACAUCUCGCCUCCCCCACCACCCCACCCCAAAAAAAACCUCCACAAAGUAGUUUCAUGUCUAGAUCAGGCAACAAAUAUGGAAUAGCUUGUUUUCCUUUGAGUAAGGUGGGAAAACCAACACUACCCUUGGCAGCUGAAAUCCUUCCUUGCUCCUGCACCUGAGAGAUGCACAGCAGAGUUAGGGGUGACCUGUUACUAGUACAGGAGAACAUCUGCCCUCUUUUAUUUUUUAUCUUAUAUGGCUGAAGAAAUCAGUGUAAAACUUGUCAGAUAUUAAGACCUUAUGUUGCAUCUUUGUGUUUCUGGGAAUGUGCACAUCCAGCACCCUGGUAUGAUGCUAGAGUGAAGAGCCUGGAAUCAGACUGUUCUGCUCGGGUAGAAUUUUGUUAAAGACAAGAAUUGCCCAAAUGGAAUAUUAUCCUCUGAUGAAAGUCUGAUUUUAUAAGGGCAAUAGUUGAGAUUUGCUAGUAGUAAAAGUACAGCAUUCUCAAAGUCUUUGUGCAGUUUUAAGCUUUAAUACCUUAAAACUCCACUAAGACUUGAGAUACUCUACAUAGGUAGUCAUGUCUUUUGAAAGUUGUAUGUGUAUAGUAGUUAGGAAUCUUUCUCUUCAGUACAGCAGACCUCCCAGUCAUUUGUUUAUUUUUUUCAUUUGUUGUUACUCUGUAAAGAUAAAGACCAGUGUUGUUGGGGAAACACCUUACUAAAGGGGUCAUACUUACUACAGGUGCCACCAAGAUGGGGAGAAAGGUUUUAAAUCUUUGUUUCUCUGCCAUUCCCUUUAAUGUCUUAUUAUUGGUAGCCUUUCUGGCAAGAUCAGCUGGCAGGUAGCAGGGCCAUCCUAUUUUCUUUACCUCUUCUGUCAAACUUGCAACAGAUCCACUCUGGUCCUUUGGGCAUCAGACCUACUAAUUUAGAUUCCUUAGAGUUCUCUGAAUUCAUAGCCAAUAAGUUCGCUGUAAAGUUUUCCUUAAAUAGAUUCCUGCCUUAUUUACAACUUUCACAAAAUCUCAUUAGAACUGAAAUUUGUGUUAUGAUCAGUUGUUUUAGCCUUAUACUCUCUUAAGACACCCUCUAUAUUUCUUUUCUGCCUGUCUUUCUGCAGUUUCCUUCCUGGCUGUAGUUUUAGGCAGCACCAUCUAUGGCCUAUUGCUAUACCUUCUCUUCUCCCAGUCCUCGUUGGUUGGAGAUUUUCCUUUUUGAAAAGUUAAAACAAACAAGGGAUAUGUGCAAUAAUUACAUAUAUACAUAUAUAUAUAUUUUAAUACUUGUGGACAAAAUAAUGUUACAAGUUGUUUGAGAACAACAAAAUCACCAAUGUCUUCCAUUUUGAUAAUAUGUAUAGUUUCAUAAGCAUUAAUGCUUUGUAGAGAAAUGUAGUGCCAUGUUAGGGGCCAGUGCAUGAGCCUAGUAGUAAUUUUAGAAUUCUUUAUAAUAAUAAUAACCAAUAGUGUAACAAAAAUAUGGAAAAUACAAAAAUUUCCUUUUUUCUUAAAGUUCUGAACCUGUAUCUUCUCCCUGGGGAAAACUGACAAACUAAAAGGGCUAGCUUAAAAAUAGAAUUCUUUUGGGUUAGAAGCCUUGAAGAAUAUGCUUGGGGAUAGUUUACCUUCAUAUAAUGUUGCAGUAUUCUAAACCUAAUGUGACUGUGUCCAGUCUUAACCACAAACUAAACUAUGGACAACCAUCCCCCAUCCCCACCCCCUCCAAGGUAAUGCUCUUGGAUUGUAUUUCUUAUAUGAAGUGGGAUUGUUCUUCUUAUGUCCUUGUACGGAUAUGUCUUGUAGCUUAAUCCUGUUUCAUUUCUGUAUGUAGACAGAACAGAACCACAGUAUAAUUCGUAUAUCUUAAUUGGGUACUCUUUGGAGCCUCCCAUGAAGUGCUCUGUUAACUCAAGGGUAGUAGACUGACACUUCCUGUCUGCAGGUCACUGUCUCUGGGCUGUGUCAGGAAGCCCUUGUAAAGGUUGAGUCAAAGUAUGUUUUAAGGCUGUCCCCACUUCUCAGUCCACUGUGGGGUUUGGUUUGGUUUUUAAACGUGGUUUUCUUGCUACUUCUCUUGCUUGAUCUGCAUUUUGAGAAUUGGAUGUAUAGGUAAAUAGAACCUCGACAGGUUGCCAUGUAGUGAGAAGUAAAAGAGAGCGUUUGCUUAUGUUUGCAGUAUGCAGUUUAAGGAUAUAUACCUUUCAGAUUUGUACGGCCCCUUUUCCCUGCCUUCCCGGAAGUAAACAGUUUUGUCACUCCUAGGAUAGUUCAUCUUUCUUUCGUAAAGCAAUUCCUGUCUGUAAAUGGCUUCCUUGAGAAAUUGGACAAGGUGGCUUUUCUGAAGUGAUUGGAGGGUCUGAGUACUCAGAUAAUCCAGGUUUUAUGAAACAUGGACUCUACAAACAGUAAAAAAUGUGAUCAUGUGCAACACUGCAUGAGCAAACAGCGCUGAGUAAGUAAGUAGGCCCGUUUGUAGCAAUUCUCUGGGGACCAGGUUCAGGUUCUCUUAGUCUACACUCAAGUAGUUAGGCCUUUGAUUCAAAUAGGAUAGUGCUUAGGAGAAUCCAUUUCUUAAAAAAAAAAAAUACCUCUGAAACAGGAAUGCAAAAUAGCACAGUAUGCAGGGGGAAUGCCCCUGAUGCAAACAAAGCCAUAAAAUGAUUUAAUAAUUUUAAAAGGAUAAAACUAGUAGCAAUAACUGUUUUGCAUGUAAUAGUAACUAACUUGAAUUAGCAAACCUGUAUAGUAAAGUAAGUUACCACUCAAGCUUGUGGUGGGGUGUGGUGCUCAGUCCUUGACAGAGCUGCAUGAAAGUAAACAUAUUUUAGGUAGCUGAUAUAUAUAAAAGAUGCUCUUUUCCUUUGAGAAGGAGGAGGGGGUGGGUGGGAGGGUGGGGGGUGUGUGCGUGUGCGUGUGUGUGUGCAUGUGUGCGUGUGCGUGUGCGCGUGUGCGUGUGUGUGCGUGUGCGCGUGUGCGUGUGUUGGAGAGAGACAUUUUGAUAUGUGAGACUGAAAAUCCCAUUUGUUUCCCCAGGAAGGAACUGUUGAGUUGAACUCUCUGGAAGAUAAAUUGGAGUCUCACUAAGGCAUUCCAAGUAGGUUUUCUGCUUGAGACUUUACUUUGAGGAUAGCUCCUCCGUCACGGAGUUUUUUUUGCUUUCUCCUUGUUUCCUGAAUUCAUAUUUUUUUUUUUUUAGGAUUAAGAAAAAAGCUUAAAUUUAGUGUUUGCGUUUUCUGUAUUUGUGGUUAAGAAAGCUCUCAGUAACACUUGUGAGAAAGGUUUUAUGUAUGUGAAUUUCUUUUUUGUUUUUUACCAUAUUUUUAAUGGAAGAGUAGCCAGAGCCAUGGCUUCUGACAGCUUAUCCUCUAAUGUAGAAAACCACUCCACCUCCCAGCACACUGUCCCAGUUUUGGAGCCAAGACAGAAGUGAGGACCAAGAUAAUUUUUCUGUUGUCUCAUACCACCUGUCCGUGUGGACAAUUCAUUCUGGCCAUCUAGUGCCUGGAAAAUAACUAUAUCUCUGUAUAAGCUAGUUACAGUCUCCCUUGGUUCAUGAUGUUCAAUUAUAUGCCUAUAUGCGAAUGCAGGAGAAAAAAUGCAAGGUAGAUGGGAGAGAGCCAAGAAAGCUGUGCCUCUUGAAUAUAAUUUUCUUACUUGGUGAUCCCAAAAGAUAAGACUGUUUAUAAAAUAAAUAACCAUCCCUCAACUCACAAAAGGAAUGCACUACCUGGAUUCCUUUUGCUCUCUCUUUAGUGUGUACCCCAGUGUCACCAUUAGACACGUUGGAAUAGCCAAGAAGUUUUCAGGAUCUGGCUUGAUCACAGGUGUACGCUUAAUGCUAUAUAAAGGACUUUGUAGAACAGGCACAUUAAAUAUAGAUCUAAAUGCUAAAAUUGACCAGAUAUAUGCAGUGAAUGGAUGGGAUUCAGAUAAGCUUAUUACAUUCAAGGGUGUAGGCAUCCCCCUUUUCUUUAGGUUUCACGCUGAUGAGUGAGCUCUUAUUAAGUAUGAAGUGUGCACUUACAAUAUGCUAGGCACUAUGCAAAAUAGGGUCAGGUCUUUGCCUUCGAGGAGUUUACAUUCUCUUGGUGCUGCUGGUAAAGGCAAAUGGCCUCUAGUUUCUUUUAGAACAUGCUUGGCUGUUAGAAUAAUCUUGGCCAAAGGAUCACUUGUCACAACAGUUUUUAGGAGAGGGCUACACCAAAUUUUAAGGCAUCGAAGAUUUAACUUGUUUACAUUGUACUAGCUACGCUAUUAAUAAAUCUUUCCAGGGCAUGUGCGGGACAGGAGAGUAAGGAGUGAUGUGUAUGUAAUUUUCUUCAGUGUUAGUAAAAGAAACCACUUAAUAGAAUCUCCACAACAUACCACCUUCAUCUUUUCAUGGUAUCACAACCGUCACAAAGUUGACCGGAAAAUCCAUGAUAAGUAAGGCUGUAUAUUUCCUUUUCUUAAUAUGGUUCUUAUCUCUGCUACCUUAUCGUUCCCACCCUUAAGGGAGUAGAUUUGCAUACCAGUCACCCCUGUACCAGUGUGAAAUGAUCCUAAAUUUUACCUUUUUAUUUGCUAGCUUUGUUCUUCCAUUGAGAAGCAUCAUAGGGAUAGACCUUGAUUAAAACUGUCAUUUGCUUUUCCCAAAUGUUUCCAAGUUUUCUCUCAGUUGCAGUAUUUCAUUGAAAAUAAAUUGCAUGUACCCUAGCUAAGCCCCAUAAUCUCUCUGAAAUCCAGAGGUUUUGUUUUGCAUGAACAUGGAAAAAUGCAUGAAGACCAUACAAGCAACAGUGGCUCAAAGCCCACAAUCCCAGUCCUGUAGAGUUAGAGUCCUAAUUAUGCAUGAUUGAAAAUGUCUAGCGUCAUAUAAUUACUAGAAAACUGAUAUAUGCAUUUAUAUAUAACAAAGCAAUAGUAACUACUAAACUAAUGGCUUGAAUUUACUGCUUGAAACCUCAGUUCUUGUUUCUCUUAAAAAGAUGGCUUGCCUCCAUCAAUACAGGGAGGCUAGAGAAUAAACCAGGACAGCAGCAUGACACUUGGGCUGUUUGGAGGAGGGAGUAGCAGAACUCGCCUUUUGUUUUAACCUCUUACCUGGUUUAUGAGAGUCUCCUAAGCAUGUUUUUUUUUUUUAAUAACAGGGCAUGCACCAAGAAGCAUGUUGUGUCAAUGAAUGAUUUCUUAGUUGCCUCAAUUGUAGCAGUCAGAAAGGUGCAGAGUUUCAAAAGGAGUAAGAGGGUAAGGCCCAACUGUACUAUAGAAAGUAAUAACUGGGUCUAUUAAACAAGGCAAAAGUGGCCUGAGUGUAAGCCCAGUAAAACUAGUACUUUGGAGGUGAAUAAAAUCAAUAAGCACAGUGCACACAUUUCAGGUGUUAGUAGCUUUUUAGUGCAGUAUUUUUGGGUAAUUUUUGCCGCUUAAGGCAGCUGUACUGAAUUGUACUGGUGUCGACCAGCAAUAAUAUUGGCUCCCUGCAGCAAAGGAGACUUCCAUUUUGCAGGAGUUGACCUGAAAAUAUUGUUACAUCUGUGAUUUUGUUUCUCUUUAGUUGUUACAUUGAUGUAUUUUUGAAUUUAUGUGACUUGAAAUAGAUUUUUAGAGCCAGAGACACAAAAUUAUUUACCCUUAAUGGUCUGAUCCGUCAUUCCAAUUAAAUUCCAUAAAGAACUCUUGCCCCUCGAGGUGAAUUUAUACUUCUUAAUUUCAUUAAAUAGAUUGGCCACUAACUUCCUUAUUUAGGGAGAAAAAAAUUAGAUGUACUUCUAUUCACUGUAACAUUUCAGAAUGUUGGGGAAUAAAAGAUUUUUGUGGGGCCUUUAGUGUAACCCCUAGAAGCAUAUGUGAUAAUAGCAAACAAGAUAAGAAUCAUCUACUACAAGCUAAAGAGGUGACAAUAAACUUAUAAUUUUUCCUACAAAGAUUUUCCCUCAAAUUAGCAUAACCUUACUUUAGGACUUAUCUUGAUAUUGCUGGGGAAACUUUAUCUUCCAAGAUACAGGAUAAAAGUAACCUUCAAAUGGCUCAGAAUUGAACCACUCAGUUCGUACUUAGCAAGUUUAUUCCCAAACCUCUUUAGUUUUUCUCUUAGCCAGUUAUUGAUAGAACAUCUGUGAAAUGAAGUUGGAAAAUUAAGUGUUUAUUGAUUUUGGCUUGAGAAUACAAUAACCCACCACCCUUCAUUAACCCACUGCUCUAAAAGGGAGUAGUAAAUACUGGUAUAUGGAACUCCUUUUAUCUUCAAAUUUGUCAAGAAACUCCAAAACUUUCAGAAUUAUUCUUGAAAAACAAGAGCUCAUAAACAGAAGGCCUUCCUUCUAAGUGAAACUUCCCUUGAAAACAAAGGCAUAUAUGUGCUGCGCCAUUGGUGAGAUGUUGGGUUGUUUUGUCUUUUCUAGUGGUGGGGAAAAGUAUCCAAAAUAAAACUAGAGCAGUGCACGGCAAUCUUCCUUCUUGAAGUAACUGCUUUUAAAUUGUUCAACUAUUCUGUGUAAAAUAAACAGUUUGGCAUUAGAUUAGAAAGACCCAAUACUGAAGAGCUCAUUUCACAUACUCUAGAUAUUAAAUUGUUGGCUUUCUUUAGUGCAGAAAAAAUUGUUUACUUAUUGUUUGCACAUGCAGCACUGUAAUCUUUCUACUCUAUUGCACAGUUGUAUUUUACAAGGUAAUAUUGUUAGGAUUUCUCAUUGUUAGAAUUUCAUACCUGAAAUUUUGGAAAAGGCAGCUUGCUGUUAUAUCUAUGCAUCUUUGGGGGUUUGAAGGACAGAUUUUAUUCUUCUGAUGGUAUAAAGUUGAACUGUUUUUAAAAACCUAAGUUGAAAACUCUGCAACUAUGUAUAAAACUUUUGGGGUUUGUUUUUUGGUUUUUAGCAAUAAAGCAGCAUGGGCCAAGAAUGCACUGAAA
Trichosurus vulpecula (common brushtail) is the source of this 8554-nucleotide long non-coding RNA. RefSeq lists it as uncharacterized. Lineage: Eukaryota; Metazoa; Chordata; Mammalia; Diprotodontia; Phalangeridae. The transcript has 4 exons. The record is from RefSeq and is a predicted model, not a curated record.